AGUCCCCGAGCGGGUCACAUUCCCUUUUGAGCCUUCACAUGGAUGGCUUCAGGAAGCCAUCUGCACCCCUCCCUCUGCCUCACCCCCUAUGUGCGUGGAGCAGAGUGAGAGGAAACAGGCUCCAGAGGGGCAAAGGGUUUGGCACUUACACAGCACCUUCCGUUUGUGCUUUGUCACGAUCCGGCGCUCUGGCAGGAGCGGAUCUCUCAGCUGUGGGAGGAACACGAACAGUCGCAGUUAUAAUCGUGGCCCUUCAGUGAUGAUGUCUCCCAGCAACCAGCCAGAGCACGCUGUAGCCUGCCGUCUCCCCAGGCAGGGUGAUCUCAGAGGGCAGCCCUGGCCUGUCCCCAGUGUCCCAGGAAUUCAGAGGCGCUCCCUGCCACUAAGUGCCUCCUCAGUGUGCUCCUGCCAAGCAUGAAAAGAGAGAGAGAGUAACCUUUGGGUAGGAAAAAUGGCACGGAAGAGAGACAGAAAUGGUCCACGCUGAUGUGUCUUCCAGCCAAGCCUGAGGCUCCUCUGGGUGGCUGUGCCCCGCGGUGCAAAGGAACUGACAGGCUGGGCCUUACGGGCUUUGUGUUUGAAAAUGGGGAUUUCUAAGGUCUCUUUAGUUCUCGGUCCAGGCCUAAAGGCCACAAGGCUGGACAGCCUUCCACCAGACCUGCCGCCCACCCAGCUCCUGGGGCGCAGCUGCAUGGGGGGCUCUGUGGAUGUCUGCAGGGGAAGUGGCAGGCACAGUACCCCCGCCCCGGACCACCGCGGAGGUCCAGUGGUAAUGGUGAGAAGUGUGGGAUCUUCGAACGUUGGACCUGUUUCUAUCCUGUUUGUUCUGCUCUGUGAACUUUGGAGGAGACAUUCAUUGAUUGAAUGCACAUUUCUUGGGCACCAUCUAUGUGCCAAUAAA
Lemur catta (Ring-tailed lemur) is the source of this 901-nucleotide long non-coding RNA. RefSeq lists it as uncharacterized. The transcript has 3 exons. NCBI's taxonomy places the organism in Eukaryota, Metazoa, Chordata, Mammalia, Primates, Lemuridae. The record is from RefSeq and is a predicted model, not a curated record.